UGCCAAGGUAGUAAUGGCUCACACACUCC
Molecule: non-coding RNA, 29 nt
Filed under: Mus musculus (house mouse)
Lineage: Eukaryota; Metazoa; Chordata; Mammalia; Rodentia; Muridae
Source: RNAcentral